This 3467-nucleotide long non-coding RNA is filed under the name Sus scrofa (pig). RNAcentral describes it as "lncRNA (ENSSSCG00015033255.1)". The record is from RNAcentral. Lineage: Eukaryota; Metazoa; Chordata; Mammalia; Artiodactyla; Suidae.
CAGAGGGCUCUCACCGGGCACUGAAUCCACCAAUGGCGUGAUCCUGGACUUCCUGCCUCCAGAACUGUGAGAAAUCAAUGUUUGUCAUUUAAGCCAGCCCGCCUCCCCCCACCCCCACUUCCCGCCUCAGUUCUGUUCCCUGAUCCCCAGCCCGGGCCCCUCCAAGGGCUGUUCCCUCUGGGAAGUCACAGCCCCCUGGGACCCAGGAUCGGAUAUUAGCCCACGCCUCUGCCCCUUCCCAGCUGCCCUGCCUUCAGGAUGAUGUCCAGAUUCUGACGGUCCUGCAGGUCCUGGCAGGUUGUGACCGACCUGCUGUCCCGCCUGAGCUGUCACCCCUGCUCCUGUCACAGCACUCCUGACCGACCUGCUUGCUGCUCCACAGAGUUCUCUCCCGUUCGGGGUGGGGGUUUGCUUCUGUCCAUCCUGCUCUCGGGGGCUCCCUUCAUCCUCCUUUCGUGGCCUGGUCCUUCUUUGUCCCCAAUCUCAAAUGUCACUUCUGCUAAAAUCUCCCCUGGCCCACCUGGGCCCCCUCUCCCCAGAGUCUCCCCUUCAGAGCCACAAGCACCAGGCUGGGCUGCCUCCUGGUCGAAUCCUUUGAGCUUUGCAGCCCCUGCGGCGGCCCCGCCAGGGGAGCUUUCAUCACAGACCGGGCCUGGCAGGUGGGGCCAUGUCCAGGGGGCAGACGGCCCUGCCCCCACUAGGACACCAGGGUAGAGGCUCUCCGAGCGUGGACCAUGAUAUCAGUGCCACUGGGACGGUCAAGGGUGAAGAUUCUCAGACCUCAUCCAGGCCGGUGAAUCAGAAGCCCCGGGGAGGUGUGCUCCUGCAAGCCCCCCAGGGGCUUCUGAUGCCGGCCAGGUAUGAGAGCCCCGGGCCGGGGAGAGAACUGCCAGGAUGAGCUGCCGCCCCCUUGGCAGCCUCCCCUGUCCCCUGUGCACUCAGGUCUCCACGUCAGCAUCCGAAGCCUCUGUGUCCUGAAGGCGCACUCCGAGGAGACGGUUUGCCACCAAAGCUUAAAGCCAGGUGUCAAUAAACCCACUGGGGACCAGGCCGGACGGACUUUGGAAGAAAAGGUGCUGCGUGCCCUUCAGCAGUUCCAGCGAAAGACCCAUCAGUUGGUGCCUCAGUCCCCUGGGCUUCCAGCCAAGCACACCUGACUGGAUUAAUGAGCAUCUGGUUGGGGAAGAAAAGUAGCCAGAGGCGGCAGGACAUUUGUGAGAGAAGCGGGGGACACCAUUCACCAGCAAGAACAGCAGCAUAAGCCGGCGUGAACUCCAACCAUCCUGGGCAAGUGCCCGGGGGUCCCCUGGCUUGGAACCAGUUGAAGCUGAUUAUGAGAGAUUCCACUGUCAUGCUGCAACCAAGCAAAAACACAAUAUGCACAGUUGCUAGAAAAGUCACCCCUCCGUUGACUGUUGUCUGUGUGCAUCAGAAAGGUGAUGCCACAGACCUGUGGUGAGGGCAAGGUGGAAUGAGACAAGAGUGACAGUUUGGCGUGGAGGGUGGCAUUUGGCUACGUAAGGACACAGCGCGGACCCAAUUACAACUGAGGCCAGAGCCAUUAUAUCCCAGGGUCAAAACGGGGACCCUGCUGUUCCCCUGCUCCAAGCCUCUAAGCAGUCCCCAUGGUUGACUGAGAGAAGCAGGCCACCUGCACUGAAGACUUGCUCUCCGGGCCCCAUCCUGGAAGCACAGGCCUCCUCCCAGCUGGCCUCCAGGAUGUCUCACCCCUGCGCCUCUGCUCCAUGGUGUAUGGAAGUUCCCAGGCUAGGGGUUGAAUUGAAGCUGCAGCUCAGACUCAGCCAGAUCUGAGCCACAUCUGCCACCAACACCACAGCUCACGGCAACACUGGAUCCUUAACCCACUGAGCAAGGCCAGGGAUGCUAGUUGGGUUCGUUACUACCGAGCCACCACGGGAGCUCCAGGUGAUCCUUUUGAGGAAAGGAAUUGAGGUUAUUUAAUUGGGGGAGGGUCAGGAGUGCCUGAGCCCCGUCUUGACGUGGUUAUCAAGGUUGGGAAAGAUGUUGUCUGCUCGUCUCCUGUUUUUGCAAAAAGCCACUCAGAUUGAGUUCCAGGAAGGACUGUCUUGCAUGAUGACACAUUUCGGCCGGGUCCCUAUUUGUGACAGACCCAGGGGAGCAAGCUAGAUUCCAGGGCGAAGCGGCUAAUUCCAACUGGGACGGGGCACUUCAGACGCCAGCCUCCUCUCUGAAGGGGACGCUGGGACAGUCUGGGGAGAGAAACCCGAGGCCUUCGGUUUGUGAACAAGCUGGCGGGAACCGCCAGGACGAAGGUGUGGCGAGCGGCCCAGGACAGGGAGGCGGGAAUCUAAAGCUGAUGCGACAGAGACUCGACCCUCUGCUCUGCUUCUGCUUGAAGGUGGGUGGGCGACAGCUGUGGCAGGGGGACACCACUGGACAGACAGGCACUCUCGUGAUCCUCAGCGCCUUGGAGCCUAGAGGGGCAGGGAGGGUCCUGUCGGGGCCAGAUGUCCUUAAGAAGAGACAGAAAAAGAACCUCUGCGUGCCCACUACGGGACGGAAGUCGCCUCCCUCCCCUCCUUCCUUCCCUCCGAUUCAUUCAUUCAUUCCUUCGACCUGAGCCUCGGUGCUGUGGCAGCUGCCAGCACAGAAGCAGAGCAGGGAAAGAUGAGAGGCGAGGCGGAUGAACAAGUGCAUUGUGGGGCCGUAUGAGAGGUGCGUGGAGGCUGCGUGGAGGGGUUCUGGAGGAAGUGAACAAGGAGGAGCUGGUCAGGGAGGAGGACUGGAGCGAGCAGGCCCGUCACACACCCCAUCAGCCCCAGCCCUGGUCCCGACGAGGACACCGAGGUUCAGGGUGGACCUCGGAAUCACGGCUGGCAUGUCGCAGGAUUCCAGGGCAGUUUUCUUGACUCUGAGGGGAGCGGGCUCUCCAGCAGGCCGCAGAACCUUCGGCUGGGUGAUUUUUGCCGAAGCCUUUGGCCCCGGCCCUGCAGCCUGCCAUUGGCUCUCUUUCAGGGUCACGGGAGGGAGAAACCCUUUGCUCUGAACGUUUGUUUCCCUUCCUGUUUCGCUUCAGUGGACAUUACAGGCUCUGAAUGGGGAGCCUGAGCCCCUGGCUCCCAUGGGCUGGUGGUUCGGAAAGCAAAGCAGCGCACGCGUGUGGCCGGCCACGCUGGCCGGGCUGCGGUCCCCAGAGGACACUCGGUCCACAGCAGACACCCCCCCGCCGCCCCCUGCCACCGCCUGCCCACCCCACACAUGCUCAGGGCAGAUCUCUGACAGGGAGGCUUUCUGCAAGCCCAGUCUCCUCGGGGCUGUGCUGUCUGGCCCGCAGGACUCAGUGGAUUCUCUUUUACUGAAAUACGCAUUUCAGAUAUUUUGUGGCUUCUCGUACAUUUUGUUUAAAAUGAGUUGAAGUUGGAACCUACGAGAGAUAUUUGAAAAAUCUUCCUUAAACACUGAAAAAAAAAAAAAAAAAAAAAAAA